Molecule: long non-coding RNA, 1036 nt
Organism: Panicum virgatum (switchgrass)
Lineage: Eukaryota; Viridiplantae; Streptophyta; Magnoliopsida; Poales; Poaceae
Exons: 2
Source: RefSeq, a predicted model, not a curated record
CCAUAGAUCCGCCACUGCAUCCAAAUACCGGUUCGGUCUGGCAAAGAUGUGCGUGCUGCUAUCCAAACAAAACUCCCUUGCCUGAACUCGGCCAAGCCAGCGGGGGACUGGUUACCAUAAACAAGCCAGAAUCAGUAGAGAAGGAAACCAAUCAGGCCUUUGUGUGUUUCCUUCUUAUUUGCAAUCUGCAAAACCUUAAUUGCGAAUCCUAACAGGCUAAUCCUACAAUUUGAUUUGAAAAGAAGAGCAUCAAUAAAGGUACAAUUGAAAUGCUAACUUGUUUGCUUGGGAAAAAAACUAUUUUCAUAAAAGUUCUGGGCAUACCAGGGGUCGUCUGCAGUGGACUGGAGGGGACAGCACUGCAGAUGGAGAAGCAGAGAAUAUGAGAAAGGAGAGCAGAAUAGGAGGGCUUGGCCGUGGCCAUCAAUUCCAGUGAGGAGUCAAGGAGGUGCGCCACCACUGCGAUGCAUAGCUAUUAAAUAAUAACAUUUUUUUUUUGCAGGGUUCUCUUAUUGAUCUGCAGCUUAUUGACGGAGCAAUAUCAUGCUACGAUCGCCAUAGUGGCUGGCCGCCGAUCAAAAAUCGCAUUUGUGGCAAUUAUGGCGCCGUUGACAUAUCAUUAGGAAUUGUCGAACAAGCGGUGGAGGCAACAAUAGAAGUAGUUAUAUCAGAACGGGGCUCUCAGAAGGUUCGUGGUUGCUGUCUCGUGGCAGACUAUGAUGCUUUUGAAGUUCAAAGUAGGUAGCGAGGGAUGCAUCGACUGUCGACAGAUAAAGUUGCAAGCUAAGAAACAUGGAUGUGCCAGUCAACAGAUUGAACUUAAGGUUGCUGCUAUUUCGGUCAAGGUGACUUGGUCCACUAUUUGACUUCCUGAUGUCUUUCAUCAAUAAGACAAUUACAUACUGCUUUUGUGCUGGAAUUGGGUACUCUUUAGCAUUAAACCUAUUUCAGCGGGUAGUAGGGAUCGCCUCUACAUGUGUUUUUAAAGCUAAGUUUAUAUGCCUAGUAAAAAAAAAAGCUAAGUUUAUAUGCAUCA